RNAcentral lists this ribosomal RNA (465 nucleotides) under uncultured bacterium. RNAcentral describes it as "partial 16S ribosomal RNA". It matches the Rfam family "Bacterial small subunit ribosomal RNA", at positions 338 to 795 of the family's 1533-position model. The record is from RNAcentral.
CCUACGGGUGGCAGCAGUGAGGAAUAUUGGUCAAUGGGCGGAAGCCUGACGCAGCGACGCCGCGUGAGGGAUGAAGGUCUUCGGAUCAUAAACCUCUGUCAGCAGGGAAGAACGGUCACUGUGCUAAUCAGCAGUGAAUUGACGGUACCUGCAAAGGAAGCACCGGCUAACUCCGUGCCAGCAGCCGCGGUAAUACGGAGGGUGCGAGCGUUAAUCGGAAUUACUGGGCGUAAAGCGCUCGUAGGCGGUAUGUCACGUCAAGGGUGAAAUCCCCGCGCUCAACGUGGGAACUGCCUUUGAAACUGGCAAACUGGAGUGUGUGAGAGGAUAGUGGAAUUCCAGGUGUAGGAGUGAAAUCCGUAGAUAUCUGGAGGAACAUCAGUGGCGAAGGCGGCUUACUGGACUGCAACUGACGUUGAGGCUCGAAAGCGUGGGGAGCAAACAGGAUUAGAUACCCGGGUAGUC